CUUGGGGGAGGGGCUAACAAUGCAAGUCGAACGGUAACAGGAAACAGCUUGCUGUUUCGCUGACGAGUGGCGGACGGGUGAGUAAUGUCUGGGAAACUGCCUGAUGGAGGGGGAUAACUACUGGAAACGGUAGCUAAUACCGCAUAACGUCGCAAGACCAAAGAGGGGGACCCUCGGGCCUCUUGCCAUCGGAUGUGCCCAGAUGGGAUUAGCUUGUUGGUGGGGUAACGGCUCACCAAGGCGACGAUCCCUAGCUGGUCUGAGAGGAUGACCAGCCACACUGGAACUGAGACACGGUCCAGACUCCUACGGGAGGCAGCAGUGGGGAAUAUUGCACAAUGGGCGCAAGCCUGAUGCAGCCAUGCCGCGUGUAUGAAGAAGGCCUUCGGGUUGUAAAGUACUUUCAGCGGGGAGGAAGGGAGUAAAGUUAAUACCUUUGCUCAUUGACGUUACCCGCAGAAGAAGCACCGGCUAACUCCGUGCCAGCAGCCGCGGUAAUACGGAGGGUGCAAGCGUUAAUCGGAAUUACUGGGCGUAAAGCGCAUGCAGGCGGUUUGUUAAGUCAGAUGUGAAAUCCCCGGGCUCAACCUGGGAACUGCAUCUGAUACUGGCAAGCUUGAGUCUCGUAGAGGGGGGUAGAAUUCCAGGUGUAGCGGUGAAAUGCGUAGAGAUCUGGAGGAAUACCGGUGGCGAAGGCGGCCCCCUGGACGAAGACUGACGCUCAGUGCGAAAGCGUGGGGAGCAAACAGGAUUAGAUACCCUGAUAGUCCACGCCGUAAACGAUGUCGACUUGGAGUUGUGCCCUUGAGCGUGCUUCCGGAGCUAACGCGUUAAGUCGACCGCCUGGGGAGUACGGGCCGCCAAGGGUUUAAAC
RNAcentral lists this ribosomal RNA (874 nucleotides) under uncultured bacterium. Its description in RNAcentral is "bacterial SSU rRNA". It matches the Rfam family "Bacterial small subunit ribosomal RNA", at positions 36 to 900 of the family's 1533-position model. The record is from RNAcentral.